AUCAUGAGUUCACAUGUCCGCAUGAUUAAAGGUAUUUUCCGGUAGACGAUGGGGAUGCGUUCCAUUAGGUAGUAGGCGGGGUAACGGCCCACCUAGUCAACGAUGGAUAGGGGUUCUGAGAGGAAGGUCCCCCACAUUGGAACUGAGACACGGUCCAAACUCCUACGGGAGGCAGCAGUGAGGAAUAUUGGUCAAUGGGCGAUGGCCUGAACCAGCCAAGUAGCGUGAAGGAUGACUGCCCUAUGGGUUGUAAACUUCUUUUAUAAAGGAAUAAAGUCGGGUAUGCAUACCCGUUUGCAUGUACUUUAUGAAUAAGGAUCGGCUAACUCCGUGCCAGCAGCCGCGGUAAUACGGAGGAUCCGAGCGUUAUCCGGAUUUAUUGGGUUUAAAGGGAGCGUAGAUGGAUGUUUAAGUCAGUUGUGAAAGUUUGCGGCUCAACCGUAAAAUUGCAGUUGAUACUGGAUGUCUUGAGUGCAGUUGAGGCAGGCGGAAUUCGUGGUGUAGCGGUGAAAUGCUUAGAUAUCACGAAGAACUCCGAUUG
This 541-nucleotide ribosomal RNA is filed under the name uncultured Bacteroidota bacterium. RNAcentral describes it as "bacterial SSU rRNA". It matches the Rfam family "Bacterial small subunit ribosomal RNA", at positions 173 to 715 of the family's 1533-position model. Lineage: Bacteria; Pseudomonadati; Bacteroidota. The record is from RNAcentral.